Molecule: ribosomal RNA, 253 nt
Filed under: uncultured bacterium
Lineage: Bacteria
Description: partial 16S ribosomal RNA
Rfam family: Bacterial small subunit ribosomal RNA
Source: RNAcentral
UACGUAGGUGGCGAGCGUUGUCCGGAAUUACUGGGUGUAAAGGGCGUGUAGGCGGGAAUGUAAGUCAGAUGUGAAAUACCGGGGCUCAACUCCGGAACUGCAUCUGAAACUAUGUUUCUUGAGUGCUGGAGAGGAAAGCGGAAUUCCUAGUGUAGCGGUGAAAUGCGUAGAUAUUAGGAGGAACACCAGUGGCGAAGGCGGCUUUCUGGACAGUAACUGACGCUGAGGCGCGAAAGCGUGGGGAGCAAACAGG